This is a long non-coding RNA of Oncorhynchus tshawytscha (Chinook salmon), 3267 nucleotides long. NCBI's taxonomy places the organism in Eukaryota, Metazoa, Chordata, Actinopteri, Salmoniformes, Salmonidae. The record is from Ensembl.
CGAAAUUACAGAGUAUUUAAUCAAUUCACAGUGAGUGUCUUAAUUAUAAUAGCAUGUUUACAUUCAACUUGUGAUCAAUAAGAGAACAGAGAAAACAAAGAAAUUACAAUCAUUUUAAUUCAAUUGGCAUGUUUAUACCAAUAAUAACACAGAUACAGCUACAACAAAAAAGAGAAACUGUACAUAAAAUUCUAAAACCACAUGGAAAUCUACAGCUGCUAUGUUCACUUGAAGGAUUAAGUGAAAGUACAGUCAAUGUUUAUCAGUAUCCUCAAAAGGAUAAGCUACAACCAGUAUGUUUAACACUGUAAUGUAUUUCAUGUUAUUAGCUUGGCUAAAAACACGAACCAUCCUCAAAUCGUACCAUUACAUUACAUACUGCAUAGAAAUUAUGAAAAAAAAUAACAGUUUCACAGCAGCUAUAUCAAAUGUUAUUGCAAUGCCUUCACCGAACAGAGACAAAAACCAUUUCACAGGCCUGAUGAAAAAUCCAGUACAUGAACUAGGGAGAAUUAACCAUAACUGUGGAUACAUAAUACAAUGUGGACAAUAGUUUAAAAAUUCAUAGGGCACAGUUUAAAACAGAAUUACCACCGUCCUACCCAAUAUAAACAAUAAAACAAGUAUUAUUGUGUAUAAACCCCCAACCCUUCUCCAUACAACAGGUUAAAUAAACUGUCCCUCAUAAAGCCUAUGGAAUGUUAGUGUCAGACAAGCGCUCCCAGUUGAAUAACAAGUUCCUGAUAUUGGCGUGAUUGCAUGUCAUUGCUACAAACCUGCCCCCCUCCCACUGACAACUGAACCAGACCACAAAAGAAAAGGGAAACACACAAUGACCAUAACCUUUCUUCCAGAGGUAAAAAAAAAAUAAAAUUGUUUCUACAAUCUUACUACUACACAACCUGCUUUUUCUUAAGAAAAUAGUUGAUAAAAAUAUUCUUCUGAAUUGUACAAGAAAGGAGGUACAGGGAGCACUGGCAAAAGGGUAAGGAUGUUAUUCUGCCUCAUCCUCCUCUUUCUCAGGCUCGUCUGCAUCAGCAUCUUCCUCUUCUGCUGCCUCCUGGCGGAUGAAAAAGUUACGUUCCCAUAUUACAGAACAGUUCUUUUAGGUCUAGUUGUUUACACUAUUUGUGUGUGGGGUACAAACAGCUGCAAUGCCAAUUAUUGUUGGUCUGUUUGUAAUACCCAAUACUCCUGAUUUUGAAUGUUGUAUAUCACUGGCAUGGCAUAUCGUAUAAUUGAAACUAAGGUAACAAGUCUUACCUCCUCAGCUUUGGCCUCUCCGUUUUCUGCCGGUGUUGCUUCUUCCUCAGGAUCCUCUUUCUUCUCCUCAGGCUUGGACUUCUCGACUACCGCCUUUACCUUUUUGGGUUUGGCUGCUGCCUUGACUGGUGUCUACAAGAAUCAGAAAUACAUGAGAUACAUUUCGAUGUACAAAUGUAUAAAUAUGUUUUGGGGUUGACAUUAGCUGAAAUUACAACAUUUAUUUUACCUUUGCCUUAGGCUCUGCUUUAGCUGGAGUAGUGGGUUUCUAUGAUAACCUCGUGGAUCUCCUCUUUGGCUGGUGAGAAAAAGAUAGUUAAAUCAGCUAUUGCAGAAAAAAUAAGUUAUUCAUAAUAUAAAAUUGUAUAAGAGCAUUAAAUACUAACCUCAACUUCAGUGUCAUUAUUUGCCUGUGAGUGGGUGGUGGGAGAGAAGAAGUAAAAUUCUUAGUAAAAACCAAGAACAACAAUCCCACAAUCAUAGGUCGGGAGCUGCAGGGAGAAGUGGGUGUGUAAUGCUAAGGGGGAUGGGCUCACAAACUGUACCCCCCCACUGCUUCAUCCCCAAAUUAGAUACAAAUUAUGUAAUCUGAAAGUGAGUGGGGGAGGGUAAACAUUUAACAUUACUAUGCCAUUUGACUUUUCCCAUUGUCAUGGUGCAAAAUGGAGCCUUUAUGGUACCAACUACCUUGAGAGUGACAAGUAAAAAGGUAUGUUAUAGUUAGGCUUUAGUAGCCCAUACGCAUAAAGGCCAAUAAACAGCCCCUCCCCCAUCAACCGACGGAGAUUUGUAAUAUGAAGGCAUCCAUCCACACGUUACGUCAACCAGUCAACUGUAUGUUCCCGCCAUUAGUUGAAUAUCUAUAAUUCUCCGAUACCAGUUUACCCAUAUGCGCUGUGGAGUAUGUCUUCAGAAAUUCGCUGUUACAUAAUGCAACAUUUGUUAGGGAAGCAAAGGCAGGGAAUGCACACAAAAUAAUAGCAAAUCCCCAAAAACUGAACACGUGACCAGCUAUGAAUCACGUGGUCGUUUUCUUUAGAAUUACUUUCUCUAAAACCCCAUUAAAGUGAUACAUGGCGCCGAGUUGUCGAUGCCUUUCCUAUUUGCAAGGGCUGCCAUGACACUUCAAAGAUCGUACCUUUCCGUGCCAUAGGGUGUCGCGCAUUACAAUACGCUUUACUGCACACAGGACACAAAGUGAUAAUAUAGGAUGCCACAGGCAUGGGCUAUUAAAAGUAUAUGAAUAUAAACGUGAACCAAAUAUAUAGGCGAUUAAAGCAAUCCCAAUAUUCACAAAAUAUCCUUUAGAUCAUGCACGCAUUUCUGCAAUGGCAACAUGUAGUUUAGUUACAUUGCAGGUGGGUUACACCCCUUUGUCUGAUCUCAUUGCUGAGAAGGCUAUUAAAAGCUACUUUACAUUCAUGAAAGACCCGAUAUGCGUCAAAUUAAAUUAUAUGAUUAAGUAACUUAUAUAAAAAGCACAAGCUGCGAUAGUUUAUCAUGUAACGUUACAGGUUACUAAAAUGAGAAAGUGAGAACGAAAGCAAAAUGUUACCACACUAAGUAAAAAGGCGCCACUUCCAUUUCGACAAGACAGACACACUAAAACACAUUCAUACUUUAGAGAAAACUUGUUACAUUGUAUCAAGCAUAUUUUAGAGUACAUGCGAUUGUUGCAGAUAUUUAUAAAAACACUUCAUGUGAGAAAUUAUACAUUGUAAAAUAAGGUUUAAAUUAAAAGGUAAACAUUCCAACUUACUUUGCUUCUUUUCGGCAUGGCUGCUUUGCUUGUAUUGUCUAGAGAAUUAGAGGACAAAUUAGCCUUCUCAGUUACUGAAAAUUCAAUGCAGGCUUCUGAAUGUGUCCGAUGUAAGUCACUCAAUUCCUUCAGAACACACUGUAACUAACGUAAAUAUUUAAUCAGUAGGCCUACGUCCAGAAACUAGCUGAAACUGGAUUGGAUCCCCCCUCUUUAUAUUGUAUUCCUUAUCCUACCAACCUGAC